This is a long non-coding RNA of Anopheles gambiae (African malaria mosquito), 1902 nucleotides long. RefSeq lists it as uncharacterized. The transcript is spliced from 2 exons. Lineage: Eukaryota; Metazoa; Arthropoda; Insecta; Diptera; Culicidae. The record is from RefSeq and is a predicted model, not a curated record.
UUGUUGUUUAUUUCAUCGAUGACGCUUGCUUGAAAUUAAAACACAAAGAAAAAUAAUCCCUGGCACCGUGGCAUAAGGAAGCUGCUUAGGCGCUGUUUGAAAGACCCACAUAGAACUUUGAUGCUGUUUAUCUACUGCAAAAGGCGAAUUCAAGCAGCGAUCUUUAGCGUGCCAAAAUGAGCUGCUUAACCGUAGAGUUGGCAACCAGAUUUACACACGUAAGUUGGCAACCGGCAUACCCGGGUAUUCCACAAGUUUUGAUGCAAAAAAUUAACGAUUUUCAUAGGUAAACAAUGCUUUCUAUAUUUUAAUGCUGUAAGCAAGUAAUGCCGACCAUAUAUUCUCUUCUAUUUCAUUUAUUCAUUAAGUUUUUUUUUUCAUUUUAAUAUAAAAAUAACGGUCAUAUUGAAAUUUGGAAUCGCUUGAAUUUGACUCGAAAAUAAGCACAAUACGAAAAGAGGAAGAAGAGAAACGUCAUUCUCCAUACAAAAUGUAUGGAAUACCCGGGUAUGCUGGUUGCCAACUUACGUGGUAAAGUUAAAAAAAAUCAAAAUAAAAUACUUACAGGCUGUUUAAAAUUACAACUUAUACACCAAAAAAUCACAAAUUAAAAGUUGGGAGGCUACGGAAAAUUUCAGGUCAAUAAAAGCAAUGAAUCAAAAGUUAUUGCAGUUCGAAGUUGAAAAAAAUACCCGGGUAUCUGGUUGCCAACUUAAAGGUUAUAUGGGUUUGUUCGAGUCGGAUGUCGUGUUCGAUUGGUGCAAGAGCGCCGCCUUACUUUUACCAAAAGCUACUGUGCAUUGGCGUCACAUCGUUGCCCCUCUUUUGGUAAAUAAAUCGGCUGAUCUAUCAUCAAUAUCGUAGAGAUAAAAACCUAUCUUCUUCGCUCUGCUACAACCUAUGAACAAUGCAUCGUCAAUUCACCGAAGCUUCUUCUGUACGCUGUUGCGGGACUGCAGGACAUCAUUGCAAAUGCGCUGAGAUUGCCCUGCUAAACAGCAAACAAAUUCAAAUGCUAACCAAAAUCGUUGUUGACAUUAAAAUGCAAAACGACGAGAUUAUUGAGUGGCUGCUUCAACGCGACCAAAAUCCAGUUCCGCAAGAAACGCCCGAAAUGAUACAGCCAACGCAAGAAAACGAGGAAAUUAUUACGUUGAUUGCAUCUAAAAAGGAGCUAAUUGAUUUCGAGCAGAAUCUAGGUUUAGAGGAUCAGUUUGAGGACGUGAAGCGUAAAUUGCAGGCCAAAAUGAAGGCCACGGCAACAAUGGAGCGACUUCACGAAGCUUUGUACCUUAUGUUCAAUAGAUUGUUUUUGGUUGAAUGUAGCUGGAGCGGUAGAGGAGUUACUGGACCGAAAAUAGCCUUUCGACGAUAUGUAAAUGUAUUGCGGCUUUUUGCUGACGUAGGGAAUGUAGAUGGCCAAAAAGUAGAUUUUGAAUCCCUUGAGAAUUUUUUUCAAAAAAAACUACGAAAUGCGAAAAACAGUGCCGUUGUAUCCGGCACAAUAAAAAGCGUUUCUCGUAGCUCAUUCUCACGGAAGUGCAAAGGACGCCCUAAGAAAAAAAUGAAUUAGAUAGGACAUAAUCAUUUAAUUACGUAAUGCAAAAAAUGCAAGAUUUCAACCCCCUCUCUCUAAGAACAGCUUUUUUAUUGAACGAGAUCAGUUUUUUUUGUGAUUUGAACUGUAUUAAGGGGCAUUCACAAUUUUUGAAACGAAACAAGAUACAAUUAUAUUGCCUUCUACAUAAGGAAAAGUUGUCCCAUACAACAGUCAAUUUCAAAAAAAAUCUGUUAAUCGUAUGCUCAGCGCCGUUUUGCAAUGUUCUUGCAUCAUCAUCAUCAGAAGCAUAUUUCUUACAGCUAUCUUCCUGGUCCUAUAUAAAUAUGUUAAUCUUUCCACUA